RNAcentral lists this long non-coding RNA (714 nucleotides) under Zostera marina. RNAcentral's name for it is "long non-coding RNA (ZMAR_LNC002074)". Lineage: Eukaryota; Viridiplantae; Streptophyta; Magnoliopsida; Alismatales; Zosteraceae. The record is from RNAcentral.
AUUCUGAUCAUAAAAUCGAAUGUCAUCUGUAAUUAGUUUAAAGCUCGCAAGGCUUCUCUUCUUACUAUUUCUAUGUGAUAUCCAUGAGAUCGAUGCAAAUAUUGUAGCCGAUAAUGGGUCCAAUCGUCGAAUUACAGUUGUUACUUCACCAGUUAAAGGUGUAGCUGAAAAUCCACCAGGCAUCGUAGCUGGUAUAGUCAACCGGAAGUAGAUGAACCAUGUAGACAUCCUUGUCCUUAGUUAAUCAUUGAGUCAUGGUACCGUUAUUAUAUGAAGUGUAAUUGUGUGUUCAUCGACAAAAUAUCAAAGAAAAAUAUUUGGUAAUUCAGAUUAUAUUUAUGGUAUCAAAUUAUAGUAAAAUAUUGUAAUAUGAGAUCUGAUAAUACCAACUCCUGUACAAGGAGUAUGGCCUGAAAAUAGGUACAAAUGUUCAAAAAAGAUCAGAUAUUGCAAACAGACAUUGGGAUCUAAGCCAUGUCCAAAUCGAGUUUUCCACCCAUGUUUAUUGUUGGUAGGAAGACAUAUCAAAUUGUUGGCCACUUUCAAGCCACCGACUGGAAAUCUGGUCGAUCUAAAAGGGCUCGUCUUCUUCUGACGAGAUGUGCAGUGUGUGAGAUGGCUGAAAUCAGAGAUCCCUAAUCAAUCAGAUUAGGGGUGCGUGAGCAGCAGAAUGGGAGUUGGAAAAUCAGUUGUUUCCAAAUACAACAGUUAGGU